Molecule: unclassified non-coding RNA, 821 nt
Filed under: Zea mays
Lineage: Eukaryota; Viridiplantae; Streptophyta; Magnoliopsida; Poales; Poaceae
Description: misc RNA Zm00001eb068200
Source: RNAcentral
CUACCGAUGUCCUCGAGGACUCUUUGGGUUUGUUAUUUUUCUGAGUCGUCAGCUACCGUGAGAGUCGCUCGCUUUGCUGCUGAACCCUAGAACUUGCCAAGGCAUCUGUUGGUGCGCGUGUUAGCUAUUGUUUUAGCCAAUCAUUUGCUUUACAAGAAAAGAUCUGAUGAAUCUGUGUUACGUUCCUUCUUUGUUUAAACCUAGGUAAUGUUUUCUAUUAUACACUAACCUCUGUUUUCUUUGUUUCUUGUUCUUUUUCUCAGGGAUAGGACCUCCCAGCGAGAGGACCCACAAUGGGUUAGAUCCCAUAGUGCAACUUACGCUCUGGAUGUGAGUUCGUAUACUUUGAAGGGGACGUCGACCUGAGACCUUCAGUAGAGAUAGCAUCACAACAUUUGGGGAGACGCUCCGCGACGAGGCUGAAGGAGAACAAGUACUAGACGCACCGUGCACGGUUUCUAUCAAAGGGGCAAGAUGGCAGAGGUUCUGAUUGGUAGCCUUAUGAUUGGGAAUUGCAGUGACCGGUUGUGUGUCCGUGUCUCCCGUAUGUGGGAAUUUUAUGAUCCUCAGGAUGAGUCCAAUCUCCUCCACGCUGAUAUGGUCCUCAUCGAUGAGGAGGGUGGCAGUGCUCAUGCUCAAAUAUACCCUCCACUCGCUGCCGUUUUCAAGCCCAUGAUAAAGGAGGGCAAUGUCUACAACGUCUCCUAUGUUCAGAUCAAGAAAGCAAAUAGGAUGUACAAGCCUGUUGACAAUGAUAUCAUGAUCGGUUUCACAAAAUGGACGACAAUUGAGGAGCUUAUUGAAGUGCCACCGGCUUUUCC